Molecule: transfer RNA, 69 nt
Filed under: Phocaeicola sp.
Lineage: Bacteria; Pseudomonadati; Bacteroidota; Bacteroidia; Bacteroidales; Bacteroidaceae
Also listed under: 1 other name
Description: tRNA-Ser
Rfam family: tRNA
About the family: Transfer RNA (tRNA) molecules are approximately 80 nucleotides in length. Their secondary structure includes four short double-helical elements and three loops (D, anti-codon, and T loops).
Source: RNAcentral
GUCGAUGUAGCUCAGGAGGUAGAGCAGCCACGGAAUGGUGUGUCGCUGGUUCAAGUCCAGUCAUCGGCA